CACGUAGGGACCAAGCGUUGUCCGGAUUUAUUGGGCGUAAAGAGCUCGUAGGCGGUUCGGUAAGUCGGGUGUGAAAACUCUGGGCUCAACUCAGAGACGCCACCCGAUACUGCUGUGACUUGAGUCCGGUAGGGGAGUGGGGAAUUGCUGGUGUAGCGGUGAAAUGCGCAGAUAUCAGGAGGAACACCGGUGGCGAAGGCGCCACUCUGGGCCGGUACUGACGCUGAGGAGCGAAAGCGUGGGUAGCAAACAGG
Molecule: ribosomal RNA, 254 nt
Filed under: uncultured bacterium
Lineage: Bacteria
Description: partial 16S ribosomal RNA
Rfam family: Bacterial small subunit ribosomal RNA
Source: RNAcentral